CUCCCCUUAACAUACCACACUACACACUUUCAUCCCCAUAUCCACCGGCCCUGUUUCAUCCUAUCACGACUGUCGUGCACUACCCUUCUACACCCUUUUAGGCCUCAUUUUUUGCACUUAAUGGAGGUCUAAAUCUUAAUCAUUCAAAUCGUACCCAUAAGUGCGUAUUGUCUUUUUUAUGUUACAAUUAUUUAAUGGGUCUAGAUUGAUCUGAAUGAUUAGUAUCUGUAGCAAAGUCUUAAUAUCAUUAAGAUGUAUAUUUAAGGAUUUGUAAAAAGAUGGCAGUUCACCAGUUUCAUCCAUUACCACAGCCGCCAUCGGCCUCCAUUAUCAACUACCACCGCCGCCGUCCAGCAUUAUAAACGACCACCUACCACCCAUAAUUCCACCAUUAUCAGCCACAAAUUUCACUGUUGCCAAUCACUAUAGUCGACCGUCACCACCGCUAGUUAGCAUUUGCAAUUAAUCAUCUCCACCAACCACCAUUACCACAACAACUACCAAUCACCACCGACAAUUUACAAUCACCAGUCACCAUUAUAAAUCGCUAACUACCAUCAUCAUUCACCACUACCAUUAGCUAUCACUAUCAUCCACCACAUCAAUAAGCUGCUGCCACUAACUAUCGCCAUCAACCACUACUGCUAAGCAUCAUCACCACUAACUACUAUCCACAACACCACCAUUGCAAACACCAUUCCAAUCGGAGCAUACUAACUA
This is a long non-coding RNA of Lycium ferocissimum, 720 nucleotides long. RefSeq lists it as uncharacterized. NCBI's taxonomy places the organism in Eukaryota, Viridiplantae, Streptophyta, Magnoliopsida, Solanales, Solanaceae. The transcript is spliced from 2 exons. The record is from RefSeq and is a predicted model, not a curated record.